RNAcentral lists this unclassified non-coding RNA (148 nucleotides) under Phaeosphaeria oryzae. RNAcentral describes it as "sequence contains ITS2". Lineage: Eukaryota; Fungi; Ascomycota; Dothideomycetes; Pleosporales; Phaeosphaeriaceae. RNAcentral also lists the same sequence under 3 other names. The record is from RNAcentral.
GUACCUUCAAGCUUUGCUUGGUGUUGGGUGCUUGUCUUUUUGUUAAGACUCACCUCAAAGUCAUUGGCAGCCAGUGUUUUGGUAGUAAGCGCAGCACAUUUUGCGUCUUGGUCCCUCAACAGCGGCAUCCAUCAAGCCAUUUUCUCAC